UCAGUAGAUGAACAGCAGGGCUAAUAGGGACCCCAGUGGGCAUCCAAGCCUUGAUUCAAUGAGACAUAGAUUUGACAGAUUCCCAUCAUGUACAGAUGCACCUAAUGGAAUGAACCUCGUGCCUUUUAUUUACCUUAGGUGCGUGUAUUGCACCCUGGUGAGUCCUACUCUACUUUAGUCUGUUCUAUUUUAUUAAAAAUUCAAUUCACAAUCCCUACUGGUUCAGCCUGCCAUGCAAGAAGCACUGUUGCAUUCCAACCCCAUUUUCCAGACAAGACCAUGGACUCACUGAUCCAUGGUUCCACCCCACACCUCUGAGGAUGACUUCACACCUGUUCCUGGCAGAGUACAGAGACUUGAAGUACUUAUAGAUGUGCAGGAAUGCUGGUUGUGCAAAGACCACAUGUGUAUAUGCCUGCAAGCCUUAUUCUCAUUCUCAGCCAGAGAACAAAGCUUCACAAGAAAAUGCCCUUAGAAGCUGGGGAAUAAAUCCACCCUGAGCUGCUAAAGUUGGACAUGGAGCCCUCCUUAAGCAGAGGCUUGGAUGAGGCCAGCAGGGAAGAAGGCGGCGUGGGGACUGAGUCAGGACCUCUCUGGAAUGAGAGUCUCCCGACCUACUUUCAGGCAAGGCAAGUCAGAGAAUUCCUUUCUGACCAUGCUUCACGGGAGAAAGGGUCAGAGAGUUACCUUCCUGCUCCUGCUGUUUUCUGCAUUUCCUUCCAUGUAAAAUAUUCAGCAGAUCAAGGGGCCACAUGUUGGGGUAAUGUGUUCUGGACCCUGACACUAUCCUCCUACCUCUCUGACCAUUUCCUCUCUGUUUCUUUGUGGAGUUCUCUCCCAGGCGUCCAUCCCCGUCCAUCAUGGGGACCCUGCCAGGGAGGGUGGGAGGAGGAAGCCAGGGAUCUGGGGUGAUCUGAGGGCAGCCUGAGAGGACAUGAUGAGACGGAGGGGGCAGGGUUAAAGGGCCA
Molecule: long non-coding RNA, 968 nt
Filed under: Pan troglodytes (chimpanzee)
Lineage: Eukaryota; Metazoa; Chordata; Mammalia; Primates; Hominidae
Description: long non-coding RNA NONPTRT003368
Source: RNAcentral